Molecule: transfer RNA, 74 nt
Organism: Thermoplasmatales archaeon I-plasma
Lineage: Archaea; Methanobacteriati; Thermoplasmatota; Thermoplasmata; Thermoplasmatales
Rfam family: tRNA
About the family: Transfer RNA (tRNA) molecules are approximately 80 nucleotides in length. Their secondary structure includes four short double-helical elements and three loops (D, anti-codon, and T loops). Further hydrogen bonds mediate the characteristic L-shaped molecular structure. tRNAs have two regions of fundamental functional importance: the anti-codon, which is responsible for specific mRNA codon recognition, and the 3' end, to which the tRNAs corresponding amino acid is attached (by aminoacyl-tRNA synthetases). tRNAs cope with the degeneracy of the genetic code in two manners: having more than one tRNA (with a specific anti-codon) for a particular amino acid; and 'wobble' base-pairing, i.e. permitting non-standard base-pairing at the 3rd anti-codon position.
Source: Rfam
GGGGCCGUAGCUUAGCCCGGUAGAGCGCCUGGCUCAUAACCAGGUGGUCGUCGGUUCAAACCCGAUCGGCCCCA